This 323-nucleotide ribosomal RNA is filed under the name uncultured eukaryote. Its description in RNAcentral is "partial 18S ribosomal RNA". It matches the Rfam family "Eukaryotic small subunit ribosomal RNA", at positions 1470 to 1796 of the family's 1831-position model. The record is from RNAcentral.
CCCUUAGAUGUUCUGGGCUGCACGCGUGCUACACUGAUAUUGCCAAUAUGUCAUUCUUAUCCGAAAUGGAUUGGGUAAUCAAGUAAUGAAAUUUCAUGCUUGGAAUCGGUAAUUGCAAUUUUAUCGUGAACGAGGAAUUCCUAGUAAGCAUUAGUCAUCAGCUAAUGUUGAUUAUGUCCCUGCCCUUUGUACACACCGCCCGUCGCUACUACUGAUUGGGUGUUCAAGUGAGAUGCUUAGACCCUUGUUGCAUGGUUCAUUAUUGUGCUCCGAAAGGAAAAAGUUUCAAGCUUGAGUGUCUAGAGGAAGUAAAAGUCGUAACA